UUCUGGAGGUCAGUAAGUCCAAUAUCAAGGUGCCAGCAUCAGGCAUUAUGGCCAGCACACUUCCUGCGAAUUUGUACCACCACCCCUUAUCUCAUCUAUGCUUCUGCUCACAGCACUGCACUGGAGCCAGGGGAUGGAUACCUGGCACUUGUAUGUCCUAUGAAGAAAGAGAGGAGGAUACAUUGCUUCCCUAUGUAUCCUUAAGGGAUAGACCAGAGGAAAAGUUAAGUAAUAGAUAAACAAUCAAUAAUACCUAAUUGGUUUCCCAAUCAAUUAGCACUUACUGUGUUGGAUUUGUUCACUUUCAGCCAUAGUUACACCUUGAAUUUCUGUAUUUCCAAAGUGGGCUCUUUUUUUUCUAAGGAAUUUCCUCAAUUUUUUCGUGUAAGUAGGCUUCUGAGGAGUCUAUUUCACUGAUUUUUGUGAUAUAUUUAAUCAUUCCAGGGCUACAAAAUUUAAGCUGAAUUUAAAUUAUUCAUAAUAUAACAAUCUCUCUUCCUCUGUCUCUCUUUCUUUCUAUAUCUUUCAUUACAUAUAUGUAAUAAAAUAUUUUCAUUAUA
Molecule: long non-coding RNA, 560 nt
Filed under: Homo sapiens (human)
Lineage: Eukaryota; Metazoa; Chordata; Mammalia; Primates; Hominidae
Description: HSALNT0336577
Source: RNAcentral